AGUGAACGCUGGCGGUAGGCCUAACACAUGCAAGUCGAACGGCAGCACAGGAGAGCUUGCUCUCUGGGUGGCGAGUGGCGGACGGGUGAGGAACACAUCGGAAUCUACUUUUUCGUGGGGGAUAACGUAGGGAAACUUACGCUAAUACCGCAUACGACCUACGGGUGAAAGCAGGGGACCUUCGGGCCUUGCGCGAUUGAAUGAGCCGAUGUCGGAUUAGCUAGUUGGCGGGGUAAAGGCCCACCAAGGCGACGAUCCGUAGCUGGUCUGAGAGGAGGAUCAGCCACACUGGAACUGAGACACGGUCCAGACUCCUACGGGAGGCAGCAGUGGGGAAUAUUGGACAAUGGGCGCAAGCCUGAUCCAGCCAUACCGCGUGGGUGAAGAAGGCCUUCGGGUUGUAAAGCCCUUUUGUUGGGAAAGAAAUCCAGCUGGCUAAUACCCGGUUGGGAUGACGGUACCCAAAGAAUAAGCACCGGCUAACUUCGUGCCAGCCGCCGCGGUAA
This 506-nucleotide ribosomal RNA is filed under the name uncultured bacterium. RNAcentral describes it as "partial 16S ribosomal RNA". It matches the Rfam family "Bacterial small subunit ribosomal RNA", at positions 29 to 523 of the family's 1533-position model. The record is from RNAcentral.